GAUGAACGCUGGCGGCGUGCCUAAUACAUGCAAGUCGAGCGAACAGACGAGGAGCUUGCUCCUCUGACGUUAGCGGCGGACGGGUGAGUAACACGUGGAUAACCUACCUAUAAGACUGGGAUAACUUCGGGAAACCGGAGCUAAUACCGGAUAAUAUAUUGAACCGCAUGGUUCAAUAGUGAAAGACGGUUUUGCUGUCACUUAUAGAUGGAUCCGCGCCGAAUUAGCUAGUUGGUAAGGUAACGGCUUACCAAGGCAACGAUGCGUAGCCGACCUGAGAGGGUGAUCGGCCACACUGGAACUGAGACACGGUCCAGACUCCUACGGGAGGCAGCAGUAGGGAAUCUUCCGCAAUGGGCGAAAGCCUGACGGAGCAACGCCGCGUGAGGGAUGAAGGUCUUCGGAUCGUAAAACUCUGUUAUUAGGGAAGAACAAAUGUGUAAGUAACUAUGCACGUCUUGACGGUACCUAAUCAGAAAGCCACGGCUAACUACGUG
Molecule: ribosomal RNA, 497 nt
Filed under: uncultured bacterium
Lineage: Bacteria
Description: partial 16S ribosomal RNA
Rfam family: Bacterial small subunit ribosomal RNA
Source: RNAcentral